RNAcentral lists this ribosomal RNA (1530 nucleotides) under Escherichia coli. Its description in RNAcentral is "bacterial SSU rRNA". It matches the Rfam family "Bacterial small subunit ribosomal RNA". Lineage: Bacteria; Pseudomonadati; Pseudomonadota; Gammaproteobacteria; Enterobacterales; Enterobacteriaceae. The record is from RNAcentral.
AGAGUUUGAUCAUGGCUCAGAUUGAACGCUGGCGGCAGGCCUAACACAUGCAAGUCGAACGGUAACAGGAAGUAGCUUGCUGCUUUGCUGACGAGUGGCGGACGGGUGAGUAAUGUCUGGGAAACUGCCUGAUGGAGGGGGAUAACUACUGGAAACGGUAGCUAAUACCGCAUAACGUCGCAAGACCAAAGAGGGGGACCUUCGGGCCUCUUGCCAUCGGAUGUGCCCAGAUGGGAUUAGCUUGUUGGUGGGGUAACGGCUCACCAAGGCGACGAUCCCUAGCUGGUCUGAGAGGAUGACCAGCCACACUGGAACUGAGACACGGUCCAGACUCCUACGGGAGGCAGCAGUGGGGAAUAUUGCACAAUGGGCGCAAGCCUGAUGCAGCCAUGCCGCGUGUAUGAAGAAGGCCUUCGGGUUGUAAAGUACUUUCAGCGGGGAGGAAGGGAGUAAAGUUAAUACCUUUGCUCAUUGACGUUACCCGCAGAAGAAGCACCGGCUAACUCCGUGCCAGCAGCCGCGGUAAUACGGAGGGUGCAAGCGUUAAUCGGAAUUACUGGGCGUAAAGCGCACGCAGGCGGUUUGUUAAGUCAGAUGUGAAAUCCCCGGGCUCAACCUGGGAACUGCAUCUGAUACUGGCAAGCUUGAGUCUCGUAGAGGGGGGUAGAAUUCCAGGUGUAGCGGUGAAAUGCGUAGAGAUCUGGAGGAAUACCGGUGGCGAAGGCGGCCCCCUGGACGAAGACUGACGCUCAGGUGCGAAAGCGUGGGGAGCAAACAGGAUUAGAUACCCUGGUAGUCCACGCCGUAAACGAUGUCGACUUGGAGGUUGUGCCCUUGAGGCGUGGCUUCCGGAGCUAACGCGUUAAGUCGACCGCCUGGGGAGUACGGCCGCAAGGUUAAAACUCAAAUGAAUUGACGGGGGCCCGCACAAGCGGUGGAGCAUGUGGUUUAAUUCGAUGCAACGCGAAGAACCUUACCUGGUCUUGACAUCCACGGAAGUUUUCAGAGAUGAGAAUGUGCCUUCGGGAACCGUGAGACAGGUGCUGCAUGGCUGUCGUCAGCUCGUGUUGUGAAAUGUUGGGUUAAGUCCCGCAACGAGCGCAACCCUUAUCCUUUGUUGCCAGCGGUCCGGCCGGGAACUCAAAGGAGACUGCCAGUGAUAAACUGGAGGAAGGUGGGGAUGACGUCAAGUCAUCAUGGCCCUUACGACCAGGGCUACACACGUGCUACAAUGGCGCAUACAAAGAGAAGCGACCUCGCGAGAGCAAGCGGACCUCAUAAAGUGCGUCGUAGUCCGGAUUGGAGUCUGCAACUCGACUCCAUGAAGUCGGAAUCGCUAGUAAUCGUGGAUCAGAAUGCCACGGUGAAUACGUUCCCGGGCCUUGUACACACCGCCCGUCACACCAUGGGAGUGGGUUGCAAAAGAAGUAGGUAGCUUAACCUUCGGGAGGGCGCUUACCACUUUGUGAUUCAUGACUGGGGUGAAGUCGUAACAAGGUAACCGUAGGGGAACCUGCGGUUGGAUCACCU